RNAcentral lists this unclassified non-coding RNA (1255 nucleotides) under Portunus trituberculatus (swimming crab). RNAcentral's name for it is "uncharacterized LOC123508088, transcript variant X1". Lineage: Eukaryota; Metazoa; Arthropoda; Malacostraca; Decapoda; Portunidae. The record is from RNAcentral.
UGAGCCACCUGUCAUCAAGAUCAAGAUUUGCUGCGACCCAGGCCCAGCCCUUCUAAUAUAUUCUAUCAUUCUUGAAUCACUGGAUAAUGAAAGCUAUGCCGUUAUCACACUUUUCGUUUUCCUGCUACUCUAAGGACACUGGCUGUUGUGUCCUUCAUCCUACGAUAUCAUCACGUUCACUUACGCAGCGCCCUGAGAACUUCUUGGAAAAGGAGUCAAGGACAGACAGCUACUUUACUCUACCUGAUUCUUUGGCCAAGCUGAAUACCCCAAGCUGUGCCAUGAUGGAUGACAAGGAUUGCUAUAAGAUGCUGGAGGUAUUAAUGAAGUCACAGUUUCAAACAAUUUCAAGAGGAUGAGGAAAAGGAAACACUCAAGCUGGGAAGUGAAGUUAUGAAGCAAAGCUAGCUUCUUUACUGUGUCCACCCUGCGUGCCAGUGUGUGCUGAAGUCUUGAAAGCUGCCGGACUCAGGCUUCCAAUGAGGAACUGCCACAGGCUGAUGUGGAGUGAGCUGCCGUGCAGAAAGGUCGGCAUGCUCCAGGCAGAGAAGUUCAGCAGGAAAUCAUACAAAAUUUCUUCCACUAUUGAGAUUGCUGCUGAGAUGGUGCAAUCUGUUGCAGUGCCUGCUGCAAGCCCUGAUGGAUAAUCAUCCCCUUCCUUAAAAAGACUCAUUGCUCCUGCACCACUGCCACCAGCUCCUACACGGAAGCAUUCAUCUGCUACUGCUUCUCAAAUACUUGACAAAUAUUCAAGCUUUGAAUGAACACUUAUAAUAAAUUAAAGAAAUAACUUAUUUUGUAUUGCCUACAAUUUACAAAUAUACUGUUAGUCAGGAUACAUGUCUUGCUAUCCUAUGGUGUCAUAUUUCCUUUCUAUGUAUACAAAGUGUUGGUAAGAUGAUACACUUUUGGAAUAACUUUUCUAAAUGCACAAGACAUAUAUUCCUAAAAAAAAAACAACCCAAAGCAACAAAAAAACAACACUCACCUGCAGGAAUUCGAAGCCUUCUGCUGCGGCUUUGAUAGGGAGCUGCUGUUGGCUUGGAAGCCAGAUGUGCCUACAGGGCUACUGAUGUACUGCACAAAUACAAAGCAUUUAAUUAGCACAUCAUUUGACUUCAAUAAAAAUACAGUUGAAAAAUAUGGCACACACAUACAUACAUAAAGAGUGUUUAUAGGUAUGUAAUAAAUAACAAAAUUUGAACUUAUGUUAGCAUGGAACAAAUAGCAUAGUUAUACACCAUUGAGUGAUGUC